GAUGAAGAACGUAGCGAAAUGCGAUACGUAGUGUGAAUUGCAGAAUCCAGUGAAUCAUCGAAUCUUUGAACGCACAUUGCGCCCGCCGGCAUCCCGGCGGGCAUGCCUGUUCGAGCGUCAUUACAACCCUCAGGCCCCCGGGCCUGGCGUUGGGGAUCGGCGGAAGCCCCCUGCGGGCACAACGCCGUCCCCCAAAUACAGUGGCGGUCCCGCCGCAGCUUCCAUUGCGUAGUAGCUAACACCUCGCAACUGGAGAGCGGCGCGGCCACGCCGUAAAACACCCAACUUCUGAAUGUUGACCUCGAAUCAGGUAGGAAUACCCGCUGAACUUAAGCAUAUCAAUAAGCGGAGGA
Molecule: unclassified non-coding RNA, 353 nt
Filed under: soil metagenome
Description: partial contains 5.8S ribosomal RNA, internal transcribed spacer 2, and large subunit ribosomal RNA
Rfam family: 5.8S ribosomal RNA (bases 1-120)
Source: RNAcentral